This 465-nucleotide ribosomal RNA is filed under the name uncultured bacterium. RNAcentral's name for it is "partial 16S ribosomal RNA". It matches the Rfam family "Bacterial small subunit ribosomal RNA", at positions 28 to 507 of the family's 1533-position model. The record is from RNAcentral.
GACGAACGCUGGCGGCGUGCUUAACACAUGCAAGUCGAACGGAAAGGCCCUGCUUGCAGGGUACUCGAGUGGCGAACGGGUGAGUAACAAGUGGGUGAUCUGCCCUGCACUUCGGGAUAAGCCUGGGAAACUGGGUCUAAUACCGGAUAGGAGACAUUUUUAGUGUGAUGGUUGGAAAGUUUUUUCGGUGUAGGAUGAGCUCGCGGCCUAUCAGCUUGUUGGUGGGGUAAUGGCCUACCAAGGCGGCGGCGGGUAGCCGGCCUGAGAGGGUGGACGGCCACAUUGGGACUUAGAUACGGCCCAGACUCCUACGGGAGGCAGCAGUGGGGAAUAUUGCACAAUGGGCGCAAGCCUGAUGCAGCGACGCCGCGUGGGGGAUGACGGCCUUCGUGUUGUAAACUCCUUGCGCUAGGGACGAAGCUUUUUGUGACGGUACCUAGAUAAGAAGCACCGGCUAACUACGUG